GGCGAACGGGUGAGUAACACGUGGGUGAUCUGCCUUGCACUCUGGGAUAAGCUUGGGAAACUGAGUCUAAUACCGGAUAGGAACCGUCUUUAGUGUGGUGGUUGGAAAGUUUUUUCGGUGCAAGAUGAGCUCGCGGCCUAUCAGCUUGUUGGUGGGGUAAUGGCCUACCAAGGCGUCGACGGGUAGCCGGCCUGAGAGGGUGUACGGCCACAUUGGGACUGAGAUACGGCCCAG
RNAcentral lists this ribosomal RNA (234 nucleotides) under uncultured Actinomycetales bacterium. RNAcentral describes it as "partial 16S ribosomal RNA". It matches the Rfam family "Bacterial small subunit ribosomal RNA", at positions 97 to 334 of the family's 1533-position model. The record is from RNAcentral. Lineage: Bacteria; Bacillati; Actinomycetota; Actinomycetes; Actinomycetales.